UAUUUUGAACCGGGGCAGUAUAGGCUGUUAUGAGCACAAAGUCUUCAAAAGUUUUGCAUUUCUCUUCUGGCACAAACUCUCGCUUGUCAUUGUUGUUCUUCAACUCCUGCGUGUUUCGUGUUAUUAAUUCUCAGGUUAUAUUAAAAGCUUUUUUUUGUCCUUUUUGAGGGUCAGGUUCCUCCUCUUUCCCUUGAAUGCGCUAGCUAGAGGCUGAAGCUUCUUCCCUUUCUUUUCUUGCUUUCUCGUGAGCACGAGCAGCGAGAGUGCUGUGAUGGAGGUGAGUGACCAGCAAAGAUGCGGAGAGAAGCGAUGAGGUCGCAUCCGACAACAGUAGCGCUUCCGCGAAGGUUCAAACUCUGACUUCUUCGAUGGCGACGACUGCGUAGGACGUUGGCUGUUCUGAUUCACGGCGCAAGUUUCCUUCUCCUCCUUCUUCCUUUGUUUUCGUUUGAGUUUUAGGGGUUUCCUGGUUCAUAUAAGAACACGGAUUGGGUGCGAAUGGGAUUGCGAUGACAGACGAAGGUGGCAGUGGCGCAUUUUAGAUUCUUCAUGAUGAUGAAAUAGAGAGAGUGAAUAGUAUAGAAUUAGAUUCAUAUGUGUUGUGAAUUAAGCACUCCCAAUACCCACAUUUAUACUCACACCAACUCCUUCAUUAUUACCUAUUCUGUUGUUCUAAUAUUUAUUCAUCAUAUCAACUAUUUUUUGUGGUCAAUAAAUAUCUAUCGACUUCGAAGAA
Molecule: long non-coding RNA, 736 nt
Organism: Vigna radiata var. radiata (mung bean)
Lineage: Eukaryota; Viridiplantae; Streptophyta; Magnoliopsida; Fabales; Fabaceae
Exons: 2
Source: RefSeq, a predicted model, not a curated record